UUUUGAUUUAUUCUCCGAGUUGUAAGUUCUAAGUUCAAUAGAAUACGGCUUCCAACCGAUAGGGAUUAUCCGGAAACAGAUUAUCCUGCCAUUUGCAAAGGAGAUUAUUUUAGAUUUUG
Molecule: non-coding RNA, 119 nt
Filed under: Ignavibacteria bacterium
Lineage: Bacteria; Pseudomonadati; Ignavibacteriota; Ignavibacteria
Description: MoCo sequence
Rfam family: Molybdenum/Tungsten riboswitch aptamer (Moco RNA motif)
Source: RNAcentral